ACUAUGUGUUGUUGGGUAGGGGAGCGUUCUGUAAGCCUGUGAAGGUGGCCUGUGAGGGUUGCUGGAGGUAUCAGAAGUGCGAAUGCUGACAUAAGUAACGAUAAAGCGGGUGAAAAGCCCGCUCGCCGGAAGACCAAGGGUUCCUGUCCAACGUUAAUCGGGGCAGGGUGAGUCGACCCCUAAGGCGAGGCCGAAAGGCGUAGUCGAUGGGAAACGGGUUAAUAUUCCCGUACUUGGUGUUACUGCGAAGGGGGGACGGAGAAGGCUAUGUUGGCCGGGCGACGGUUGUCCCGGUUUAAGCGUGUAGGUGUGUGUUCCAGGUAAAUCCGGUUCACUUUAACACUGAGGCGUGAUGACGAGGCACUACGGUGCUGAAGCAACAA
This 383-nucleotide ribosomal RNA is filed under the name Salmonella enterica subsp. enterica serovar Poona. RNAcentral's name for it is "partial 23S ribosomal RNA". It matches the Rfam family "Bacterial large subunit ribosomal RNA", at positions 1213 to 1596 of the family's 2925-position model. Lineage: Bacteria; Pseudomonadati; Pseudomonadota; Gammaproteobacteria; Enterobacterales; Enterobacteriaceae. The record is from RNAcentral.